Acanthosepion pharaonis is the source of this 110-nucleotide non-coding RNA. NCBI's taxonomy places the organism in Eukaryota, Metazoa, Mollusca, Cephalopoda, Sepiida, Sepiidae. The record is from the annotation of a GenBank genome assembly.
UUACGGUCAUAUGACGUUGAAACACCGGUUCUCGUAAGAUCGCCGAAGUUAAGCAUCAUCAAGCCUGGUUAUUACCUAGAUGGGUGACCGUUUGGGAAUAACAGGUGCUA